AGCUUUGCACAGUGACCAUAUCAUAGCCAAUUAGGUUUAUCUGAGGUGUGAUUAUUGCUAAUUGACAACUUUUCCCACCUCUCCACAACCCCCUGAAAUAUAGUCAGUACUGGCAAAGAAAAAUGUUUU
Molecule: small nuclear RNA, 129 nt
Organism: Erinaceus europaeus (western European hedgehog)
Lineage: Eukaryota; Metazoa; Chordata; Mammalia; Eulipotyphla; Erinaceidae
Gene: U4
Rfam family: U4 spliceosomal RNA
About the family: U4 small nuclear RNA (U4 snRNA) is a component of the major U2-dependent spliceosome.
Source: Ensembl